RNAcentral lists this unclassified non-coding RNA (243 nucleotides) under uncultured fungus. Its description in RNAcentral is "partial contains 5.8S ribosomal RNA, internal transcribed spacer 2, and large subunit ribosomal RNA". Lineage: Eukaryota; Fungi. The record is from RNAcentral.
AACGCACAUUGCGCCCGCCAGCACUCUGGCGGGCAUGCCUGUCCGAGCGUCAUUUCAACCCUCAGGCCCCGCCUGGCGUUGGAGCCCUGCGCAGCGCAGGCUCCCAAAGACAGCGGCGGGCGCGCCCCGGAACCGAGCGCAGUAAUGCUAUCUCGUUCUGGUCCGGUGCGCGCUCCGGCCGUAAAACCCCCCAAACUUCAAGUGGUUGACCUCGGAUCAGGUAGGAAUACCCGCUGAACUUAA